Molecule: ribosomal RNA, 468 nt
Filed under: uncultured bacterium
Lineage: Bacteria
Description: partial 16S ribosomal RNA
Rfam family: Bacterial small subunit ribosomal RNA
Source: RNAcentral
GACGAACGCUGGCGGCGUGCUUAACACAUGCGAGUCGAACGGAAAGGCCCUGCUUUUGUGGGGUGCUCGAGUGGCGAACGGGUGAGUAACACGUGAGUAACCUGCCCUUGACUUUGGGAUAACUUCAGGAAACUGGGGCUAAUACCGGAUAGGAGCUCCUGCUGCAUGGUGGGGGUUGGAACGUUUCGGCGGUUGGGGAUGGACUCGCGGCUUAUCAGCUUGUUGGUGGGGUAGUGGCUUACCAAGGCUUUGACGGGUAGCCGGCCUGAGAGGGUGACCGGCCACAUUGGGACUGAGAUACGGCCCAGAGUCCUACGGGAGGCAGCAGUGGGGAAUAUUGCACAAUGGGCGGAAGCCUGAUGCAGCAACGCCGCGUGCGGGAUGACGGCCUUCGGGUUGUAAACCGCUUUCGCCUGUGACGAAGCGUGAGUGACGGUAAUGGGUAAAGAAGCACCGGCUAACUACGUG